Molecule: ribosomal RNA, 548 nt
Filed under: uncultured bacterium
Lineage: Bacteria
Description: bacterial SSU rRNA
Rfam family: Bacterial small subunit ribosomal RNA
Source: RNAcentral
UAGGGAAUCUUCGGCAAUGGACGGAAGUCUGACCGAGCAACGCCGCGUGAGUGAAGAAGGUUUUCGGAUCGUAAAGCUCUGUUGUAAGAGAAGAACGAGUGUGAGAGUGGAAAGUUCACACUGUGACGGUAUCUUACCAGAAAGGGACGGCUAACUACGUGCCAGCAGCCGCGGUAAUACGUAGGUCCCGAGCGUUGUCCGGAUUUAUUGGGCGUAAAGCGAGCGCAGGCGGUUAGAUAAGUCUGAAGUUAAAGGCUGUGGCUUAACCAUAGUACGCUUUGGAAACUGUUUAACUUGAGUGCAAGAGGGGGGAGUGGAAUUCCAUGUGUAGCGGUGAAAUGCGUAGAUAUAUGGAGGAACACCGGUGGCGAAAGCGGCUCUCUGGUCUGUAACUGACGCUGAGGCUCGAAAGCGCGGGGAGCGAACAGGAUUAGAUACCCUGGUAGUCCACGCCGUNNCGAUGAGUGCUAGGUGUUAGGUCCUUUCCGGGACUUAGUGCCGCAGCUAACGCAUUAAGCACUCCGCCUGGGGAGUACGACCGCAAGGNU